Long non-coding RNA from Bolinopsis microptera, 675 nucleotides. RefSeq lists it as uncharacterized. Lineage: Eukaryota; Metazoa; Ctenophora; Tentaculata; Lobata; Bolinopsidae. The transcript is spliced from 3 exons. The record is from RefSeq and is a predicted model, not a curated record.
CAUACAAAUUUACAACAAAGUCUUCAUGUUAUGUAUCCUGAGUUUGGACAGGAUAAUAUUACCCGCUUAAAAUAUUUCCAUCGCGAUACAUAAUACUCAAUAAAUGUAAUAGAUUCGUAGUUAAGUGUUGUAAUUAGUUUUGAACUGCUGAAGUUUAUACAGCCCUAAUAUAUAACAACCUUAGAAAAGCAAACUUAUUUGCCUUCGUUUUUAAACCUACUUUCAGCGUUUAUCAGCAGCUACAAUUAAGGUACGUACCUAUAAUUAAUACGUAGAAUCUAGUUAAUUGUAAUAACAUACACCAUUGAUAGCUUCGUGAUAUUUUCUAGCAAAUAUUAGAAACUGACUGGAAAUCCGGUGCUUUCCCUUUCAAAUGGCAAAAGCGAGAAGAUCUUUAUAUCGUCAAUUAAUGAUAAUUUAAUUUAAUUUUAAGUUAUUACUAAACAACUCCAGGAACGAAGACGAUGCUGUAUAAAGACUAUACGAAGGUUCAACAGGAAGAAAGAGAGGAUAUCAGCUUCAACCAAUCAAUGAGAAUUGAAGAUUACAGAAACGAACUUCAUGGCAUUGAUAAGUGAUGAAUACCCUGAAAAAGAAACAAAACUCCAUCACUACCCUUUCUCAGCAGGAACGAACCUUUCAACUGAAAAAACAAAAUGUGAACUCUUUGUAAAC